CUGCAGCUCAAGUGGUGACCACUAUUAUUGGGCCUAAAUCGUUCGUAGCCGGUUUGGUAAAUGCCUGGGUAAAUCGUGUAGCUUAACUAUACGAAUUCCGGGUAGACUGCCAAACUUGAGACCGGGAGAAGCUAGAGGUACUCCUGGGGUAGAGGUGAAAUUCUGUAAUCCUGGGGGGACCACCAGUGGCGAAGGCGUCUAGCUAGAACGGGUCUGACGGUGAGGAACGAAGCCCUGGGGCGCAAACCGGAUUAGAUACCCGAGUAGUCC
Molecule: ribosomal RNA, 270 nt
Filed under: uncultured archaeon
Lineage: Archaea
Description: partial 16S ribosomal RNA
Rfam family: Archaeal small subunit ribosomal RNA
Source: RNAcentral